AUGCUCAAAUAAAGAUUGUAUCAAUUACAUCGUUACACCAGUAGGUGCCGAUAAGUGACUGUUCAUUUUUGUCAUUCAUUCAAGAGAUUUGUUUAAAUAUUCUGAUUCAUCCAGUAAUGAAACAAGUGAAGUCUUUAUGAGUGAGUCUUUGAAUCAUUCAUUCAAAAGAUUUGUUCAAAAACGCUGAUUCAUCCAGUAAUGAAACAAGUGAAUGAGUCAUUGAAUCAUUCAUUCAAGAGAUUUGUUCAAAAACACUGAUUCAUCUAGUAAUGAAACAAGUGAAGUCUUUAUGAGUGAGUCAUUAAAUCAUUCAUUCAAGAGAUUUGUUCAAAAACGCUGAUUCAUCCAGUAAUGAAACAAGUGAAUGAGUCAUUGAAUCAUUCAUUCAAGAGAUUUGUUCAAAAACACUGAUUCAUCUAGUAAUGAAACAAGUGAAGUCUUUAUGAGUGAGUCAUUAAAUCAUUCAUUCAAGAGAUUUGUUCAAAAACGCUGAUUCAUCCAGUAAUGAAACAAGUGCAGUGUUUAUGAGUGAGUCAUUGAAUCAUUCAUUCAAGAAAUUUGUUCAAAAACACUGAUUCAUCCAGUAAUGAAACAAGUGCAGUGUUUAUGAGUGAGUCAUUGAAUCAGUCAUUCAAGAGAUUUGUUCAAAAACGCUGAUUCAUCCAGUAAUGAAACAA
Rhinichthys klamathensis goyatoka is the source of this 677-nucleotide long non-coding RNA. RefSeq lists it as uncharacterized. The transcript has 3 exons. The record is from RefSeq and is a predicted model, not a curated record. NCBI's taxonomy places the organism in Eukaryota, Metazoa, Chordata, Actinopteri, Cypriniformes, Leuciscidae.